CCGCGUUGCUGCGGCUGCGCCGGGGCUGGAGGAGCUGGGAGAUUGCGCGGGCUCAGAGACCUGUAUUGGGACCAUGGCCCUGUCACAGGAAGGUGUCCGCGUUCGAGGGCAGCCUGUGGUUUCAGUGGGAACCUGAAGUGUAAAGCAUUUAAAAUACAGGAAAAAGGAAAAAAUAGCACAAAAAUAGUACAAAAUAGUAAAAAUAGAUACAAGUGUGAUUUAUAGGAGGGAGUCUUAAGGAGGGACUUCACACUGAUGCACCGAAACUGACGAAUUUGUGUUCCCCUCAACUAAAGAAUGGCCUGGAAAGUGCAACGUGGACGGGUGCUCAAGAGAAAAGUUAAGCUGGUUUACAGCAGCCUGGAAAGCAAAAUAUUUUCAGUAAUGUUCCUUCCAUAAAGAUCUUAGAUGUAUGUUAAGCACUCCGCUAGAGACCUGACAGGUCAAAAAUUCAGUAGACUUUUAUAUUACAGCAAUCAUGGUUUUAUUUUUGUUGCAUAUACAUUUUUUUUUAAUUUCAGGACAUCAGCCUACCAUCUGUGCCUAGUAGAAACCUCUUCCAUGGGUAUGUCACUGUACUAAAAGUGAUAAUAUUUUUCUCAUUAUACUAAUAUCCACUACUGGAAUUUUACAGCUUCCCUUGAAGCAUGCAAUACCAAUCCCUCUAAAAUGGAACGUAUCUCACAUGCCUACCAGCUCACAGCACUCUGCAAAUUGUAUAAACUGAUAGCCAAAUAUAGAAAUAACUUCAUCCCAUAGGCGGAAUGAAGCACAGCCACCAAUUUUUCUAUUAACAAAUACAAUAAAGCAAUUGUAAAUGGCUUCCUAGGGAAGGAAGUUAUGACCACACUACAACCAUCUGAAGAUGCAAGAAUAUGGAAAGCACAGGACGAAAACCUCUCAGAGACGUGCCUCGUCUGCAGUGCCAGCCGAGGCAAUUGGCAUGCGUGUCAGGUCAGCUUGGGAUCGAAUGUCCACUCUGCAGUCACACUCCAGUUGUUGCCUCUGCAGUGCCCCUGCGUUUCUCUGGGAGCUCUGCAGCCACGUGCACGCUCUCAUAGUGCAUUUUUGGGGGAAAAAACACCUCUGCUUUUUGCAUGAAUGUCAUCUUAGCCCAUAGACUUGGUUACUCUGAGUUUGGGAUGCUCUGGAUUUCCAUCAUUGGUCUCCCAUAGGUACAAAAUGUGGAUCCGGGCCAAAUGAUGACUUACACCAGUUGCUGAGAUGCAUGUAGCUUUUGCUGCAGAGCCAUGGAGGUGUCUUGGCGGUGGCUUGCUGCUCCGUGAAGACAGGGUAAUGCCCUGCCGGUGCAGGCAGACGUAGAGGCAGCUGAUGCGGACUGUAAUAGCUGUGGAAUUCCCUUGUGCUAAUCAGCAGUUUUGGAACGGGGCCACAAGCACGGAGAGCCGGGACUGUGCUACCCGACAAGCCUGGUGUAACCUGCAGUGGGCUGGAGGGAGGAAGGUCACUUCCCUGUACAUCACAGGAAGGUAGAGCCACAUGAGGCACCAAAAAACGUUUGUAAUGGUAGGAUGACAGAAUACUGGAAGGGCUUCCGGAGGCUCUGGAGUCUCCCCUCUUGGAGGUUUUAAGAACAGGUUGGGCAAAUGCUGCUCAGGAAUGCUGCAGGUAGAGUUGCUCCUGCCUCAGGGAGAGGGAUGGCUGACAUGACGUCUCAGGGUCCCAUCUGGCUGCAUAUUUCCCUGGCCACAUGUUGCUAAUUGGUUUGGAGUGGGCAGAUGAACCCCUGGGCUUGUGAAAGUGCACAUCUACAAGGCAGUGGCUGUUGAGUGUGCUUGGCUGGGCCUAACACGUGCUCAUUUCUUCUCCACCCCUCCCAAAGAGCGCUCACUUAUGUGAAGAGAGCAGACAGGACCCAAAGCUCUUGGCAGGGAAUGGUGUGGACAUUCAUUUGGGAUGCACCAAAAGGGGCCUCGAGAGGCAAAUUUUCCCAGUAUGAACAAACCAACUCUGCCUCUUUGGAAAACUCAGCAUCAGCACGUGUUUCCCCAGGUUCUCGUGGAGAUCCUGCAAAGCCCAGGCUGCCUCCUGUCAUAGACCCAUAACCCCACAGGAUAAGGGUUGGCACAAGGCUAACUGCAAGUACAAAGGCACGUUUUGCCAGCAGAAGGGUAGGGAGCUUGGCUCACACCCCUGUGGGGAUGCCAGGGCUGGUCAGGACAUGCCACAUGCAGCAUAGAGAAGGAGGGGAGGAGGUUAGCUGGGUAAAGGCAAAUGAUGCGUGGUGGGAAAAGGGAGUUGUGCCUGCUCAGGUGCUGUGAGACUGUGGGAGAGACAUCAGGGGACUGUACAAGGUGUUUUAGCAAUUCACCUUGUCUUUGGCUGAUGAAUUCCGGUCCAGAGCAAGAAAACAGAUGAGUAACAAGGAAGGAUCGCCUAGCAAAGGGUGCAUGGGAAAGCAUAAGGGCACUGGGAGUGCCGGUGUCAAUUAGCUGCUCCCUUUGUAGUAUGGGUGGCUUAGAAGUAGCAGCGUAAGUGGCUUUUGGGCUUUGGCCAACAGCAUCAGGACUGGCCUAAAAGCACCACCAGCCCUGGGUCACAGAUCUGAUGUUUUCAGGUGCUGCGGUGGGGUCAAUGCACAAAUACGAGCCCAAGGUCAGCCUCCAGUGAAGACCAGCUCAAUCGACAACAUUACUCCCAUCAGCUGAGCCCAUGUGGGGGGGAGGAAGACGAUUUCUCCAAAAAGUGUUUUGGAGAGACAGGUGUAGCUUUAGGACUUGCUGAACACACCAACUUGCUUGUUUCAUGACAGCAGACGUUACGAUGAACAAGAGCCUGUUAUCUCACUGGGUUUAUACAGGAAGGUUGGUCUCUGGCAUGCUGGAGAUGAAGGAGCUGCACGUGGUUGUGCAGCGGAAGACAUGCUCCUGGCAGCAGCUCUGUUCUGUUUCCUACAAAAUGUCCUAGCUGCCUCAGAGUUAAAAAAUCUGCUGCUGCCUGCUGGCACUUUCUAGCUGCCUGUGCUUGCAAGCGGUAUGAGGAGGAAACCCAGCCACUGUGCAUCUUGUAUCAUCAGGAGAGAAAAAGCGAGAUCCGUCUUUUUUCUUGCCCGUGGAGUUUUCAUGCAUCUUAAGCCCACAGAAGAGAAAAGCAAUUGAUUCACCCACUGUGCUGUCAACAAACACCCUGAUGAUUUAGCGGUUUUGUAACUGAGCAGUUUUUAAACAUUCACAGUGCAGACUGAGGAGGAAAACUACAGACACAGCUGCAUGGCUUUUUCCUUUUCUCUCUUUUUCAGAUUAAAAAAAAAAAAAAAGGAUGCAGCCGUUGCUUUCCUUUAAUAUGAGUCUUUGCAACAGUGAUUGUUCAGUAAUGUGUAAUAAAACAGAUUUGCACAGC
Cygnus olor (mute swan) is the source of this 3360-nucleotide long non-coding RNA. RefSeq lists it as uncharacterized. The transcript has 2 exons. The record is from RefSeq and is a predicted model, not a curated record. Lineage: Eukaryota; Metazoa; Chordata; Aves; Anseriformes; Anatidae.